CAGGGGAUGAUGAGACACAGGUGUGGGGAAUCAGUGUGGGACCGACACACAAGGCAGGAAGAUGAGGAGCAGGAUCUGAAAAGACAGGGUCUCAACUCACAGCUCUAAACAUUAGAGCAAAUUAACUUCACUUCCUUCAAGAGUGCUUAAUUAUUAAUUGAGGACCUGAAGACAAUUUCAACCAAAAUCUUAAAAAGUGUAUCUGGAGAAAAUGACC
This is a long non-coding RNA of Labrus mixtus (cuckoo wrasse), 217 nucleotides long. RefSeq lists it as uncharacterized. The transcript has 3 exons. The record is from RefSeq and is a predicted model, not a curated record. Lineage: Eukaryota; Metazoa; Chordata; Actinopteri; Labriformes; Labridae.